CUCUGCACACAGACAUGCAGGCUGUUCUUCUGCUCUUACUGCUGGCUGGAGCCUCCAAAGGUCUGGACUCCACCUGCAAUGCUACUCAGGAUGCUACAUGUUAUGGGGCUCUGGGAGGACCUGUGUAUCUGCAGCUGACGAGGGACACCACAGGAUAUGAACUGAAGUUGUUCAGUGGAGACAAGAAUAUUUUUACAUCCAAAAGCUCCAAGACAGUGUUCUAUAACGAGUUCAACACCCCAUCAUUCCGUCAGAGGUGGCAGUUUGUUCCUGAUAACGGGACCCUGAUCAUAAACCCUAGAGAAAGGAGAGACUCAGCAACAUACAGAGUGGAGAUCUAUGAGGAGUCAACAGGGAAGAGAGUGGGAGAGCACACCGUACAGCUGAUCAUCGAAGCCCCUGUGUCUGAUGUGGACCUGUCAAUCAGCAGCUUAGCCAAUGGGGAGAAGAGGGUGAGGUGCUCCUCCAAUGGGGACAGUCCUCAGUACAGCUGGUCUCUGGAUGGGAGGCCUCUGAGUGAAGCUGAUGCUGAUCUCAGUCCAGAUAACCAGACUCUCCUGUUCAGUGAGGAUGUGACUGGAGAACUCACUUGCAGUGUCUCAAACCACGUCAGCAGCACAAACACCUCAGUUCUGCUGCUGGAGGUUUGCUCUGGUCAGUUAGUAGGACAUUACUUUACAUCUGAGUGAUUUAGUGGUCAUGACAACAUCAGUAAUACAGACAUCAGGCAUGCAGUCAUAACAGUUAUGAAGAUGCUAGCAUGGCACUGGAUUAUAUACUAAUAAACUGUU
Long non-coding RNA from Clupea harengus (Atlantic herring), 791 nucleotides. The record is from Ensembl. NCBI's taxonomy places the organism in Eukaryota, Metazoa, Chordata, Actinopteri, Clupeiformes, Clupeidae.